CCUUAACCUGCUAAAUAGACUGGUGAGCUUUAGGGCUUGCCUUUGGGUCUUCUUAGAGGGACUAGCUAGGUAUUACUAGCUGGAAGUUUGAGGCAAUAACAGGUCUGUGAUGCCCUUAGAUGUUCUGGGCCGCACGCGCGCUACACUGGCAGAGGCAGCGAGUAUGUAACCUUGCCCGAAAGGGCUGGGUAAUCUUGUGAAACUCUGCCGUGAUGGGGAUAAACCAUUGUAAUUAUUGGUUUUUAACGAGGAAUUCCUAGUAAGCGCAAGUCAUCAGCUUGCGUUGAUUACGUCCCUGCCCUUUGUACACACCGCCCGUCGCUACUACCGAUUGAAUGGCUCAGUGAGGCCUUCGGAUUUGGAUGUUAUGUAAUGUAAUGUUUGGAGAAGUUGUACAAACUUGGUCAUUUAGAGGAAGUAAAAGUCG
This 427-nucleotide ribosomal RNA is filed under the name Microsporidia sp. Its description in RNAcentral is "SSU rRNA". It matches the Rfam family "Eukaryotic small subunit ribosomal RNA", at positions 1341 to 1791 of the family's 1831-position model. Lineage: Eukaryota; Fungi; Microsporidia. The record is from RNAcentral.